ACUGGUGUGGUGGUUGUUGCUGGCCCUCUCGGGGGCAUGUGCACACCCACCAUCCUCAUCUCUCCACCUGUGCACCUCUUGUAGACCUGGAUAGACUUUCCGAGGCAACUCGGUCGGGAAGAUUGCUGCGCUCUGUGAGCCAGCUUUCUUUGCAUGUCCAGGCCUAUGUUUUUCAUAUACCCCUAUAGAAUGUAACAGAAUGUAUCAUUGGGCCUUGUGCCUAUAAACCUUAUACAACUUUCAGCAACGGAUCUCUUGGCUCUCGCAUCGAUGAAGAACGCAGCGAAAUGCGAUAAGUAAUGUGAAUUGCAGAAUUCAGUGAAUCAUCGAAUCUUUGAACGCACCUUGCGCUCCUUGGUAUUCCGAGGAGCAUGCCUGUUUGAGUGUCAUUAAAUUCUCAACCUUAUUAGCUUUUGUUGAUAAUGGAUUGGAUGUGGGGGUUUAUUUUGCUGGCUUCUUCAGAGAUCAGCUCCCCUUAAAUGCAUUAGCUGGUGCCCCGCGUGGACCAUCUAUUGGUGUGAUAAUUAUCUACGCCGUGGAUGUCUGCAAUCAUAUGGGUUUUGCACUGCUUNUAACCGUCUGUUCAUUCGGACAAUAUAUGACAAUUUGACCUCAAAUCAGGUAGGACUACCCGCUGAACUUAAGCAUAUCAAUAAGCGGAGGAAAAGAAACUAACAAGGAUUCCCCUAGUAACUGCGAGUGAAGCGGGAAAAGCUCAAAUUUAAAAUCUGGCGGUCUCCGGCCGUCCGAGUUGUAAUCUAGAGAAGUGUUAUCCGCGCUGGACCGUGUAC
This 791-nucleotide ribosomal RNA is filed under the name uncultured Alnicola. Its description in RNAcentral is "eukaryotic LSU rRNA". The stretch from base 236 to 389 matches the Rfam family "5.8S ribosomal RNA". The record is from RNAcentral. Lineage: Eukaryota; Fungi; Basidiomycota; Agaricomycetes; Agaricales; Cortinariaceae.